RNAcentral lists this long non-coding RNA (551 nucleotides) under Panax ginseng (ginseng). RNAcentral describes it as "long non-coding RNA (PGIN_LNC016996)". The record is from RNAcentral. Lineage: Eukaryota; Viridiplantae; Streptophyta; Magnoliopsida; Apiales; Araliaceae.
AACUGUUGAGUUCCAUACUAUUACAGUCACUGUAAUAGUAUCAGUAUAAAUAAAUAAUCUUCCAAACUCGCCCAAAUCAAACAUGUCGUGAGUUCUAUAGUCACUGUUGAAAAAAGUAGCUGAAGCUCUGAAUCGUACGAAUCUGCCGCCAUGAAAAUCGAUGAUGGGUUUUUUUUGUUUGGAGGAGAGAGAAAAGGGGGCGGAAGAGGCGAAUUGAGACUUGAGGCCUUUAUCGUCGAUUCGUCUCUCUCAUUAAAAGCCUUCCCGUUCCCUCUUACCCUUUCCUCUUUCAUACCCAACUUUCCUUUGUGUGUCGAGGUUCGAGAAAAUCCAAAUGAAGAUGAGAAGUCUCUGCUUACCUUGAGGUACAAUCAAUUUUGUUAAUUUCUAUUUCAUUUACACAAUCCAUUGUUUUCUUAGUCAGAAAUGAAUUUUUGAUUUUUGUUCCAGUUUUUGGUUUGUAAAACCCUAUGGGUCACUGAAUUUGUACAUAGAAGAACCACAAUCUUCAAUAAUUUGAGUUGUUUAGAAAAGGGUUUUGUGGGUUAUGG